Molecule: ribosomal RNA, 253 nt
Filed under: bacterium
Lineage: Bacteria
Also listed under: 1 other name
Description: partial 16S ribosomal RNA
Rfam family: Bacterial small subunit ribosomal RNA
Source: RNAcentral
UACGGAGGGUGCAAGCGUUAUCCGGAUUCACUGGGUUUAAAGGGUGCGUAGGCGGGUAGGUAAGUCAGUGGUGAAAUCCUGGAGCUCAACUCCAGAACUGCCAUUGAUACUAUCUAUCUUGAAUAUUGUGGAGGUAAGCGGAAUAUGUCAUGUAGCGGUGAAAUGCUUAGAUAUGACAUAGAACACCCAUUGCGAAGGCAGCUUACUACGCAUAUAUUGACGCUGAGGCACGAAAGCGUGGGGAUCAAACAGG